AUUGAACGCUGGCGGAAUGCUUUACACAUGCAAGUCGAACGGCAGCACGGGGCAACCUGGUGGCGAGUGGCGAACGGGUGAGUAAUACAUCGGAACGUGCCCAAUCGUGGGGGGAUAACGUAGCGAAAGUUACGCUAAUACCGCAUACGAUCUACGGAUGAAAGCGGGGGAUCGCAAGACCUCGCGCGAGUGGAGCGGCCGAUGUCAGAUUAGGUAGUUGGUGGGGCAAAGGCUCACCAAGCCAACGAUCUGUAGCUGGUCUGAGAGGACGACCAGCCACACUGGAACUGAGACACGGUCCAGACUCCUACGGGAGGCAGCAGUGGGGAAUUUUGGACAAUGGGCGAAAGCCUGAUGCAGCGACGCCGCGUGAGCGAAGAAGGUCCUCGGUUGUAAAGCUCUGUCUGGAGGGACGGAAGGAAGGUAGGACGGUAACCGUCCGGACGGAAGACCGACCGGGACUAACUAACGUCGCCAGCAGCCGACGGUAACAAUACUCGUA
RNAcentral lists this ribosomal RNA (502 nucleotides) under uncultured bacterium. Its description in RNAcentral is "bacterial SSU rRNA". It matches the Rfam family "Bacterial small subunit ribosomal RNA", at positions 29 to 529 of the family's 1533-position model. The record is from RNAcentral.